AUGGGCGCAAGCCUGAUCCAGCCAUGCCGCGUGUGUGAAGAAGGCCUUCGGGUUGUAAAGCACUUUCAGCGAGGAGGAAGGGUGUUGUGUUAAUAGCACAGCAUUUUGACGUUACUCGCAGAAGAAGCACCGGCUAACUCCGUGCCAGCAGCCGCGGUAAUACGGAGGGUGCAAGCGUUAAUCGGAAUUACUGGGCGUAAAGCGCACGCAGGCGGCUUGUUAAGUCGGAUGUGAAAGCCCCGGGCUCAACCUGGGAAUUGCAUUCGAUACUGGCAAGCUAGAGUAUGUGAGAGGGGGGUAGAAUUCCAAGUGUAGCGGUGAAAUGCGUAGAGAUUUGGAGGAAUACCAGUGGCGAAGGCGGCCCCCUGGCACACUACUGACGCUCAGGUGCGAAAGCGUGGGGAGCAAACAGGAUUAGAUACCC
Molecule: ribosomal RNA, 424 nt
Filed under: Rheinheimera sp. 1001I
Lineage: Bacteria; Pseudomonadati; Pseudomonadota; Gammaproteobacteria; Chromatiales; Chromatiaceae
Also listed under: 5 other names
Description: bacterial SSU rRNA
Rfam family: Bacterial small subunit ribosomal RNA
Source: RNAcentral